CUUCUUAGAGGGACAAGCGGGAGAACCCGCACGAAAUAGAGCAAUAACAGGUCUGUGAUGCCCUUAGAUGUCCGGGGCCGCACGCGCGCUACAAUGGCGGUGUCAACGAGUCAGACCUUCUGGCCUGAAAAGGUUGGGCAAACUGGUCAAUCACCGUCAUGACAGGGAUCGGGGCUUGGAAUUAUUCCCCGUGAACGAGGAAUUCCUAGUAAGUGCAAGUCAUAAGCUUGCGCUGAUUACGUCCCUGCCCUUUGUACACACCGCCCGUCGCUACUACCGAUUGAAUGGUUUAGUGAGGUCCUUGGAUUGGCGCCAUUUCGGUGCCCCGAAAGGUGGCUACCUAACCGGUGCUGAGAAGACGACCAAACUUGAUCAUUUAGAGGAAGUAAAAGU
Molecule: ribosomal RNA, 393 nt
Filed under: Neoctenotaenia ctenoides
Lineage: Eukaryota; Metazoa; Platyhelminthes; Cestoda; Cyclophyllidea; Anoplocephalidae
Description: SSU rRNA
Rfam family: Eukaryotic small subunit ribosomal RNA
Source: RNAcentral